GAGAUCUCAGCUUCUUCAUAAGCUCCCACACGAAUUGCUUGAUUCACUGGUUAGACGAUUGGGUCUGUAGCUCAGUUGGUUAGAGCGCACCCCUGAUAAGGGUGAGGUCGGCAGUUCGAAUCUGCCCAGACCCACCAAUUGUUGGUGUGCUGCGUGAUCCGAUACGGGGCCAUAGCUCAGCUGGGAGAGCGCCUGCUUUGCACGCAGGAGGUCAGGAGUUCGAUCCUCCUUGGCUCCACCAUCUAAAACAAUCGUCGAAAGCUCAGAAAUGAAUGUUCGUAGAUGAACAUUGAUUUCUGGUCUUUGCACCAGAACUGUUCUUUAAAAAUUCGGGUAUGUGAUAGAAGUAAGACUGAAUGAUCUCUUUCACUGGUGAUCAUUCAAGUCAAGGUAAAAUUUGCGAGUUCAAGCGCGAAUUUUCGGCGAAUGUCGUCUUCACAGUAUAACCAGAUUGCUUGGGGUA
Molecule: transfer RNA, 463 nt
Filed under: Pseudomonas fluorescens
Lineage: Bacteria; Pseudomonadati; Pseudomonadota; Gammaproteobacteria; Pseudomonadales; Pseudomonadaceae
Description: partial 16S-23S ribosomal RNA intergenic spacer
Rfam family: tRNA (bases 61-134)
Source: RNAcentral